Molecule: ribosomal RNA, 253 nt
Filed under: uncultured bacterium
Lineage: Bacteria
Description: partial 16S ribosomal RNA
Rfam family: Bacterial small subunit ribosomal RNA
Source: RNAcentral
GACAGAGGUGCCAAGCGUUAGGCGGAAUCACUGGGCUUAAAGCGUGUGUAGGUGGAUUUGUAAGUACCUUGUGAAAUCCCAUGGCUCAACCAUGGAACUGCUCGGUAUACUGCGAAUCUUGAGCCACUUAGGGGCUACCGGAACAAAUGGUGGAGCGGUGAAAUGCGUAGAUAUCAUUUGGAACGCCAAUGGUGAAAACAGGUAGCUGGGAGUGUGCUGACACUGAGACACGACAGCCAGGGGAGCGAACGGG